CUCUCUGGAGAAGCCCGUGAAGGACGGGGGCCGAAGGUGCAAGCCGGGAAACCGGUCAAUCUCUCAGGCAAAAGGACAGAGCUU
RNAcentral lists this non-coding RNA (84 nucleotides) under bovine gut metagenome. RNAcentral's name for it is "Glycine riboswitch". It matches the Rfam family "Glycine riboswitch aptamer", at positions 9 to 86 of the family's 94-position model. Rfam says of the family: This family represents the bacterial glycine riboswitch. The record is from RNAcentral.